Molecule: long non-coding RNA, 1337 nt
Organism: Carassius gibelio (silver crucian carp)
Lineage: Eukaryota; Metazoa; Chordata; Actinopteri; Cypriniformes; Cyprinidae
Exons: 4
Source: RefSeq, a predicted model, not a curated record
UAAAACUGUGCAAAGACACAGUUGCAGUGCAGCGGUUUUUUUAUGUUUACUGUGACGCAUGCGCUGGAUUAAAGUGAUGAUAGCACAAGGUUACAUUUUAGUAAUCAAAUAUUUUAAAGCCAAAAAUGUUACGUGUGUGUUUAACGUUAGGUGUGUUUAAGGCAUAGUUGGUUUACGAAGUGUUAUUUAUGCUUUGUUUUUUUUUAAUCCCCAGAUAACCAUGGUUGAUAAAUGGUCAGUAGAUGACACGUGCCACUGGCUUGAAACUAUAGACCUCAUUGAUGCAAAAGAAAGUUUCAGAGAUUCUGCAUGAAAUGACAAUGAGGUUUGGAACCGACUUGGUGAAGAACAUGGAAACAUCUCUGAAUGAAAUGGCCCCAAACAUCAUCAGGAGUGCAAAAGAAGGAAGUCAAAAAAAAAAAAAAACUACGUCAAUCUCAUUGGACUAGCAGAGGAAACCACAGAAGGUCUCGUUAGGAAUGCUGCACUCAUUUUAUUGCCAGCACUAUUUAAAGAAAACGCCAGCUUCCUCUACUGUGUAGAUAGUGAACCCAAAGGUGCUACACCAACCAUAGUGUUUAACGGCUCUCCUGAUCCCCUCAAGGCUGAAAGUGUCAGCAUUAUAAUGGACAAUGUGAACAUCAUAAGAGAGGCAGACAUUGACAUGACACAGGCUGUGGAAUGCCUAUUUGCAGUCUAUUUUCUCUUCAAUGUGCAGUACCCGGUUGACAUUAAGCACACAAUGACUUUUAUUUAAAAAUAUAUGCUUAACCUUAGACAACAGCACGGCAAAAGAACACCAAUGCAUGUACUGAAAAUGUAUAGUCAACUUGUGUAAAUUGUAGAGCUAUUUAAUAGUUGUUUUAACUGUUCAUGUAUUGAUUUUUAUCUGCACUGUUAAAUAUAAAAAAUGAUUUGUUUUUCCUAAUUUCAGAGAUAUAUGUAAAAGUGAAGUACUGUAUAUGUACGUAAACAAGCUUAUGUAUGUUUAUUGCAAAGUGAAAAUGCUUAAAUGAAAUAAUUCAAACUAAAUGGUUAAAUGUAAUUAAACAUCUUAAAUAUGAAAUUUGCUGUCUAAUACAGAGUAUACAGAGGUGUAAUUUUAAAUGACACUAAAUUUUUUGUAUAAACAGUUGAAUAAAUUUAAACAUUUUAAAUUUUCUGGAUUGUUUAUAUUUUCUUAUUCAAUAAUAAUUUUAACUUGUUUAAUAAUAAAGAACUCUUAAAUGGUUCUAUAUAGAACCAUCUAACUUGGAUUCAAAGAACCAUUUGGGGUUCUUUUUAUGGAACCCAUUAAAGUGGUUCUAUAUAGAACCAUUUUGGAGUUCCAUAUAUGA